RNAcentral lists this ribosomal RNA (2863 nucleotides) under Helicosporidium sp. ex Simulium jonesi. RNAcentral describes it as "23S ribosomal RNA". It matches the Rfam family "Bacterial large subunit ribosomal RNA". Lineage: Eukaryota; Viridiplantae; Chlorophyta; Trebouxiophyceae; Chlorellales; Chlorellaceae. The record is from RNAcentral.
UUGCUUAAAAUAAAGGCGUAGGGUGGAUAUCUAGGCGUUUAAAGUCGAUGAAGGGCGUGUAUUACCUGCGAAAAGCUUCGGGGAGAAGGUAAAUCCUAUAAUCCGAAGAUACCCAAAUAGGAAAACCUGAUUGUUUUUCAAAGAAAGAAUACAAUCACUUUUUAAUAAAAGAGAUAACUCAGUGAAGUGAAACAUCUCAGUAACUGGAGGAAAAGAUAGCAAAAGCUAUUUCCAUAGUAGUGGCGAGCGAACUGGAAAAAGUCCAUAAAAAAAUAUAAAAAUUCAUUUAUUUAAAUAUGAAUAGCAAUAAAUAAGCUAGCCAUAGAAAGUAAUAGCCUUGUAAUUUAAUAAAUAUAUGAAUUAAUUUUUUAAUAAGUAAUAUGGAAAAUGUGAAAUUCCGUAUGAAUUAUGAGAACCACCUCAUGGGCUAAAUACUCUUAAACGACCGAUAGAGAAAAGUACCGUAAGGGAAUGAUGAAAAGAACUUCGAAAGAAGAGUGAAAUAGAACUUGAAACCCUAUGCUUACAAAAAGUGGGAGCCUUUUAAUAUUAAAAGGUAACCGCGUGCCUGUUGAAGAAUGAAUCGGCGAGUUAAAAAAGAUGGUAAAGACUAAAAAUAUUCUUUGAAGUCGAAGUGAAAACAAGUCUUAAUUAAGGGCAAUUUUAAUCAUUUUUUUUAGACCCGAACCCGAGUGAUCUAACUAUGGCCAGGAUGAAAAUAAGGUAACACUUAUGGGAGGUCCGAACUGGUAAUUGUUGAAAAAAUUUCAGAUGAGCUGUAGUUAGGGGCGAAAAACCAAUCGAACUCGGAGCUAGCUGGUUCUCUCCGAAAUGCAUUUAGGUGCAGCAAAGUUUAGAUAAUUUAUUAGUUAUUAUAUAAAAAAGAGGUAAAGCUACUGUUUCAAAAGAGGCUACGAGAGUGGUACUUUUUUGUUGCAAACUCAAAAUGCUUUUUUAUAGUUAAAUUUAGUGAGACUUUGGGGGAUAAGCUCCAUAGUCAAGAGGGAAACAGCCCAGACCAUCUGUUAAGGCCCCUAAAUGAGAAUGAAAGUGAUUAAGGAAGUAGUCAAGUAAAUACAUCCAGGAGGUUAGCUUAGAAGCAGCGAUCCUUUUAAGACAGCGUAAUAGCGCACUGGCCUAUAUUUUAAAAAAUAAUAACUUGAUUGCGCCGAAAAUGAAAGGGACUGUAUUCUCUGCCGAAGCAAUGGAAUAUUUUUUUAAAUAUUGGUAGGAGAGCGUUCUGAUAAAAAUCAGAAGUGAGAAUGCCGAUUUUAGUAACGAAAACAUUGGUGAGAAUCCAAUGCCCCGAAAACCUAAGGAUUCCUUUGGCAGGUUCGUCCGCAAAGGGUUAGUCGGCACCUAAGGCUAAAUCGAAAGAUUAUGUCGAUGGAUAACAAGUUAAUAUUCUUGUACACUUUUUUUUAAUUUAAUUCGAUUAAUUAAAAAUAAAAAGAGUAACGAAAUUACUAAAAGGAAACUGUUACUGGAUUUCAGUUUAUAAAAGUGGAGUUAUAUAGGAAAAAAAACUUAUAAAAAAUAAUUCUACUUUUUUAUACCCUUCAAAAAUUUCCAAGAAAAACUCUAACUUUAUAAAAAAAAAAGUGCCGUACCUUAAACCGACACAGGUAGGUAAGUAGAGAAUACUAAGGGGAGCAAGAAAACUCACUCCAAGGAACUCGGCAAAUUAACUCCGUAUCUUCGGUAGAAGGAGUGCCUAAAUUAAAAAAGGUCUCAGUAAAAAGAUUCGAGUAACUGUUUAACAAAAACACAGCUCUCUGCUAAUUCGUAAGAUAAUGUAUAGGGGGUGACGCCUGCUCACUGACAAGUAGUGAACGCUUUUAGUGAUAAUUUAUAUUUGAGCUUUGGGCUAAAACCUUGUUGAAGAGAAGUUCUAACUAUGAGAAUUAUAAAGUAGCGAAAUUCCUUGGCGGGUAAGUUCCGUCCUGCACGAAUGGCGUAAUAACUCGAAUACUGUCUCGGAGUGAGACUUGGUGAAAUAACAAAAUCCGUGAAGAUGCGGAUUAAUGGCAUCAGGACAGAAAGACCCUUGAAGCUUUACUGGAAUCUGAAAUUGAAAGCUAUAUUUAACUGCGCAGCAUAGGUGGGAGAUUUUAAAUGAAAGUUUAGGCUUUUCAUUUAUCUUAAGUGAGAUACCACCCUUUUUAAUAUAAAAUUCUAACUUGAUUUUUUUCAAAGACAGUUUUUGAUGGACAGUUUGUCUGGGGCAGACGCCUCCUAAAAGGUAACGGAGGCUUCCAAAGAUUUUUUUAAGCGGGUUGGAAAUCCGUAGUAAAGUGUAAAAGCGUAAAAAAAUUUGACUGUAAAACUUAAAAGUUGAACAGGGACGAAAGUCGGGUUUAGUGAACCGACGAUUCUUUGUGGUAGGGUCGUCGAUAAAAUAAUAAAAGUUACUCAAGGGAUAACAGGCUUAUCUUCACCUAGAGUUCAUAUCGACGUGAAGGUUUGGCACCUCGAUGUCGGCUCAUUGCAUCCUGGAGCUGCAGCAGGUUCCAAGGGUUAGGCUGUUCGCCUAUUAAAGCAGUACGUGAGCUGGGUUCAGAACGUCGUAAGACAGUUUGGUCCGUAUCCGAUGUCAUCGUGGGAGUAUUGAGAGGAUUUUUUAAUAGUACGAGAGGACCUUAAAAAGCACACCUCUGGCGUACCAGUUUUUGUGCCAACAGAAAACGCUGGGUAACUAUGUGUGAAGUAAAUAACCGCUGAAAGCAUCUAAGUGGGAAGUUCACCUCAAGAUGAGUACUCCUAAAAAAUUUAGAGGCUCCGAAAAGAUUAACCGGUAAAUAGGUGUUAAGUUUAAAAUAAGUAAUUAUUGUAGCUGAGACAUACUAAUAAGCCAAAUUUAAGC